UACACCGUAAUAAAUAUUUUC
This 21-nucleotide non-coding RNA is filed under the name Caenorhabditis elegans. Lineage: Eukaryota; Metazoa; Nematoda; Chromadorea; Rhabditida; Rhabditidae. The record is from RNAcentral.